RNAcentral lists this transfer RNA (73 nucleotides) under Camelus bactrianus (Bactrian camel). It matches the Rfam family "tRNA". From Rfam's summary of the family: Transfer RNA (tRNA) molecules are approximately 80 nucleotides in length. Their secondary structure includes four short double-helical elements and three loops (D, anti-codon, and T loops). The record is from Rfam by way of RNAcentral. RNAcentral also lists the same sequence under 1 other name. Lineage: Eukaryota; Metazoa; Chordata; Mammalia; Artiodactyla; Camelidae.
GAGGGUAUAGCUCUAGUAGUAGAGCACUUGCUUAGCACACAUGAGGUCCUGGGUUCAGUCCCCAGUACAUCCU